Molecule: transfer RNA, 66 nt
Filed under: Ictidomys tridecemlineatus (thirteen-lined ground squirrel)
Lineage: Eukaryota; Metazoa; Chordata; Mammalia; Rodentia; Sciuridae
Description: Spermophilus tridecemlineatus (thirteen-lined ground squirrel) tRNA
Rfam family: tRNA
About the family: Transfer RNA (tRNA) molecules are approximately 80 nucleotides in length. Their secondary structure includes four short double-helical elements and three loops (D, anti-codon, and T loops).
Source: Rfam by way of RNAcentral
GAUGUAGCUCAGUUGAUAGAGUGCUUGCCUUGCAUGCAAAAGGCCCUGGGUUCAAUCCUCAGCAUC